UAACUAUUAUCGCAAGGUAAUACUGAACAUGCAGAAGUCAGCAGAGGUCGUAGUAGUCGAGAGGUGAAGGAC
RNAcentral lists this non-coding RNA (72 nucleotides) under Faecalicatena contorta. Lineage: Bacteria; Bacillati; Bacillota; Clostridia; Lachnospirales; Lachnospiraceae. The record is from RNAcentral.